UGGCCUACGGGGGGCAGCAGUGAGGAAUAUUGGUCAAUGGGCGAGAGCCUGAACCAGCCAAGUCGCGUGAGAGAAGACGGCCCUACGGGUUGUAAACCUCUUUUGUCGGGGAGCAAGACCCGCCACGAGUGGCGGAGCGAGAGUACCCGAAGAAAAAGCAUCGGCUAACUCCGUGCCAGCAGCCGCGGUAAUACGGAGGAUGCGAGCGUUAUCCGGAAUGAUUGGGCGUAAAGGGUGCGUAGGCGGCCUGCUAAGUCUGGAGUGAAAGGUACCGGCUCAACCGGUACAGGCUCUGGAAACUGGCG
RNAcentral lists this ribosomal RNA (305 nucleotides) under uncultured bacterium. Its description in RNAcentral is "bacterial SSU rRNA". It matches the Rfam family "Bacterial small subunit ribosomal RNA", at positions 335 to 638 of the family's 1533-position model. The record is from RNAcentral.